This 495-nucleotide ribosomal RNA is filed under the name uncultured bacterium. Its description in RNAcentral is "partial 16S ribosomal RNA". It matches the Rfam family "Bacterial small subunit ribosomal RNA", at positions 28 to 507 of the family's 1533-position model. The record is from RNAcentral.
GACGAACGCUGGCGGCGUGCCUAAUACAUGCAAGUAGAACGCUGAAGGAGGAGCUUGCUCUUCUGGAUGAGUUGCGAACGGGUGAGUAACGCGUAGGUAACCUGCCUGGUAGCGGGGGAUAACUAUUGGAAACGAUAGCUAAUACCGCAUAAGAGUAGAUGUUGCAUGACAUUUACUUAAAAGGUGCAAUUGCAUCACUACUAGAUGGACCUGCGUUGUAUUAGCUAGUUGGUGGGGUAACGGCUUACCAAGGCGACGAUACAUAGCCGACCUGAGAGGGUGAUCGGCCACACUGGGACUGAGACACGGCCCAGACUCCUACGGGAGGCAGCAGUAGGGAAUCUUCGGCAAUGGACGGAAGUCUGACCGAGCAACGCCGCGUGAGUGAAGAAGGUUUUCGGAUCGUAAAGCUCUGUUGUAAGAGAAGAACGAGUGUGAGAGUGGAAAGUUCACACUGUGACGGUAUCUUACCAGAAAGGGACGGCUAACUACGUG